RNAcentral lists this ribosomal RNA (406 nucleotides) under uncultured bacterium. RNAcentral describes it as "partial 16S ribosomal RNA". It matches the Rfam family "Bacterial small subunit ribosomal RNA", at positions 30 to 526 of the family's 1533-position model. The record is from RNAcentral.
AUUGAACGCUGGCGGCAGGCCUAACACAUGCAAGUCGAACGAGUGGCGGACGGGUGAGUAAUGUCUGGGAAACUGCCUGAUGGAGGGGGAUAACUACUGGAAACGGUAGCUAAUACCGCAUACCAUCGGAUGUGCCCAGAUGGGAUUAGCUAGUAGGUGGGGUAAAGGCUCACCUAGGCGACGAUCCCUCGCUGGUCUGAGAGGAUGACCAGACACACUUGAACUGAGACACGGUCACGACUCCGACGUGAGACAGCAUAGGGGAAUAUUGCACAAGGGGCGCAAGCCUGAUGCAGCCAUGCCGCGGGUAUGAAGAGGGCCUUCGGGUUUUAAAGUACUUUCAGCGGGGAGGCGUUACCCGCAGAAGAAGCACCGGCUAACUCCGUGCCAGCAGCCGCGGUAAUAC